AGAACUUGGUAACAAGCUUACUGAGAGGAUGAGGAGCAAAGGACCAUAUAUUGCUCUUCAUUUGAGAAUGGAGAAGGAUGUGUGGGUGAGAACAGGAUGUCUUCCCGGUUUAAGCCAUGAGUAUGAUGAGAUGAUCAACAAUGAGCGAAAGCAAAGGCCCGAGCUCUUAACUUCACGUUCAAACAUGACUUACCAUACCAGAAAACUUGCUGGUCUCUGUCCCUUGAAUGCCUUAGAUUGUCUUCCUGGUUUAAGCCAUGAGUAUGAUGAGAUGAUCAACAAUGAGCGAAAGCAAAGGCCCGAGCUCUUAACUUCACGUUCAAACAUGACUUACCAGACCAGAAAACUUGCAGGUCUCUGUCCCUUG
Molecule: long non-coding RNA, 367 nt
Filed under: Nicotiana benthamiana
Lineage: Eukaryota; Viridiplantae; Streptophyta; Magnoliopsida; Solanales; Solanaceae
Description: long non-coding RNA (NBEN_LNC042487)
Source: RNAcentral